Molecule: transfer RNA, 92 nt
Filed under: Clostridium ganghwense
Lineage: Bacteria; Bacillati; Bacillota; Clostridia; Eubacteriales; Clostridiaceae
Description: tRNA-Ser
Rfam family: tRNA
About the family: Transfer RNA (tRNA) molecules are approximately 80 nucleotides in length.
Source: RNAcentral
GGAGAAAUGUCCGAGUGAUUUAAGGUGCUUGACUCGAAAUCAAGUGAACGGUGUAUGUCGUUCCGAGGGUUUGAAUCCCUCUUUCUCCGCCA